This 169-nucleotide ribosomal RNA is filed under the name uncultured Clostridiaceae bacterium. RNAcentral's name for it is "partial 16S ribosomal RNA". It matches the Rfam family "Bacterial small subunit ribosomal RNA", at positions 339 to 522 of the family's 1533-position model. Lineage: Bacteria; Bacillati; Bacillota; Clostridia; Eubacteriales; Clostridiaceae. The record is from RNAcentral.
CUACGGGAGGCAGCAGUGGGGAAUAUUGCACAAUGGGCGCAAGCCUGAUGCAGCCACGCCGCGUGAAGUGAAGACGGUCUUCGGAUUGUAAACUUCUAUCAGCAGGGGAAGAAAAUGACGGUACCUGACCUAAGAAGCCCCGGCUAACUACGUGCCAGCAGCCGCGGUA